CAGCCUUUCCAGAAUGGGUUUAGUUAUCUAAGUGGGCAGCUAAAUAUAGUUGAUUAGUUUGAAAUUAAUUAGGUUUUGUUUUAAAACCCCUAUGUAGAGUCUUGUUCCUUGGUUUUCUACAAAUGAAAUUAUGGAAAGCUAGAUUUGGUUUUUAGAUUUUUCUCCAGCUAGAGUCAGCUGGUCUUGACCCCAAAGUCCUUUUUCUGCCACCAGUGGAUCCAUGGAGAAUGGAGAGGCUCACCUCUGAAGGUGGCUUUGCUAUGACUUAGCAACCCAGGAGAAUUAAUACCCAGCCAGGGCUCAGCUUUAUGUGGUUCAGGAGAAGCAGACAGCACAGAGAUCAUCUUAUCCUUCUGCUGCGAUUCCUGCCUGCAAACACUUUGGCAUUCCUGUGAAGAAGUUGAGUUUUGCAGCAUUUGGAGUUUGUGCUUAAAAAGAACCACCUCGCAAAUGUGAUUCUGGCUGGGGAUUAUUAUCUCGAUAUGUUGCUAAUUCCUGAAUAAUGAUGUGUACGGGGAGUUCUGAUGAAGGAUGUGGAGGAAGAUGAUUGAAGGCGCUUGCAGGUGGAAGUCACAGAUUCCUCUUGGAUGGUGACAGUUUCCAGGCUCUGUAUGGCAGAUUUUUCUCUGGCCUAAUAUGUAGUUUAUCAUAUUUCUCUCACUUUUUAUGACUGAUUUAUCAUUGCUUUGAGUUCUUUUUCUGAGAAUGCUCCUAGCACCCAGCAAUGAAUAAAUGCAAAUGGUUAUUUA
Hirundo rustica (Barn swallow) is the source of this 749-nucleotide long non-coding RNA. RefSeq lists it as uncharacterized. The transcript is spliced from 2 exons. NCBI's taxonomy places the organism in Eukaryota, Metazoa, Chordata, Aves, Passeriformes, Hirundinidae. The record is from RefSeq and is a predicted model, not a curated record.